AGAGUUUGAUCCUGGCUCAGAAUCAACGCUGGCGGCGUGCCUAACACAUGCAAGUCGAACGCGGUUAGUAGCAAUACUAACUGAGUGGCGAACGGGUGAGUAACGCGUGGGUGACCUACCUUCGAGUGGGGGAUAACGUCCCGAAAGGGACGCUAAUACCGCAUGACAUCCUCUUUUUGAACAGAGAGAGAUCAAAGCCGGGGAUCGCAAGACCCGGCGCUUGAUGAGGGGCCCGCGUCUGAUUAGCUAGUUGGUGGGGUAAUGGCUCACCAAGGCGACGAUCAGUAUCCGGCCUGAGAGGGCGGACGGACACACUGGGACUGAGACACGGCCCAGACUCCUACGGGAGGCAGCAGUGGGGAAUUGUUCACAAUGGGCGCAAGCCUGAUGACGCAACGCCGCGUGGAGGAUGAAGGUCUUCGGGUUGUAAACUCCUGUCGAGGGGGAAAAAGGGCCGCAAGGCCUUGAUUGAUCCCUGGAGGAAGCACGGGCUAAGUUCGUGCCAGCAGCCGCGGUAAU
Molecule: ribosomal RNA, 519 nt
Filed under: uncultured soil bacterium
Lineage: Bacteria
Description: bacterial SSU rRNA
Rfam family: Bacterial small subunit ribosomal RNA
Source: RNAcentral